Molecule: ribosomal RNA, 421 nt
Filed under: uncultured bacterium
Lineage: Bacteria
Description: partial 16S ribosomal RNA
Rfam family: Bacterial small subunit ribosomal RNA
Source: RNAcentral
AAUAUUUGACAAUGGGGGCAACCCUGAUCCAGCCAUGCCGCGUGUGUGAAGAAGGUCUUCGGAUUGUAAAGCACUUUAAGUUGGGAGGAAGGGCUUUAGGCUAAUACCCUGAAGUUUUGACGUUACCAACAGUAUAAGCAGCGGCUACCUCUGUGCUAGCAGCCGCGGUAAUACAGCGGGUGCAAGCGUUAAUCGGAAUUACUGGGCGUAAAGCGGUCGGAGGUGGUUCAGUAAGAUGGGUGUGAAAUCCCCGGGCUUAACCUGGGAACUGCUUUCAUAACUGGUGAGCUAGAGUACGGUAGAGGGUAGUGGAAUUUCCUGUGUAGCGGUGAAAUGCGUAGAUAUAGGAAGGAACACCAGUGGCGAAGGCGACUACCUGGACUGAUACUGACACUGAGGUGCGAAAGCGUGGGGAGCAAAC